This 71-nucleotide transfer RNA is filed under the name Marmota monax (woodchuck). Its description in RNAcentral is "tRNA.Ala". It matches the Rfam family "tRNA". From Rfam's summary of the family: Transfer RNA (tRNA) molecules are approximately 80 nucleotides in length. Lineage: Eukaryota; Metazoa; Chordata; Mammalia; Rodentia; Sciuridae. The record is from RNAcentral.
GGGGCUGUGGCUCAGUGGUAGAGCACUCGCCUAGCAUGUGUGAGGCCCUGGGUUCCAUCCUCAGCACCACA